Molecule: long non-coding RNA, 504 nt
Filed under: Ananas comosus (pineapple)
Lineage: Eukaryota; Viridiplantae; Streptophyta; Magnoliopsida; Poales; Bromeliaceae
Description: long non-coding RNA (ACOM_LNC022061)
Source: RNAcentral
CUCUGCCCUCUCCUAUCUCUCUAAUCUAGUCUUAGUUUUUUCGCCUGGAGCAUUUUUGCCUAUUAUGUUCUUUCUGUUUGUAAAUUUUACAUAUAUAAUCCGUUUUCUUCUCUCUUAUAUCUAUAUCAUUACGAAUUCGCACUGAUUUUGGACGACUCUUUUUUGACCUCCGCAUAAACUCAUUUGGAAUUAAGGUAGAACCAGAAUAUAGUUGUCAAUAAUUCCUAUCUGGUAUGAGAUUAAAUCUAGAACAUCAUGUUAUUGUUAGUGUCUCAACAGAGUAAUAUUUAUCAACAAAAGAUUGGUAGUCUAUUACAUGUAUAGAACAAGUUGUCAAAAUAUGAUAGUAAAAAUAAUGAUAAAUUUUAACUUCUAACAUGUUGGGGAAUAGGAGAGGAAAGAGGAAAAAAUAAUUUUCCAUCCACUUAACAUAUUAAUCUAUAUAAAAAUUAUUAACUUUUUUUUUUUCUAAUUUACAAAAAUGAGGCUAGGUUAGGAAUAUUU